This 513-nucleotide ribosomal RNA is filed under the name uncultured bacterium. RNAcentral's name for it is "partial 16S ribosomal RNA". It matches the Rfam family "Bacterial small subunit ribosomal RNA", at positions 28 to 507 of the family's 1533-position model. The record is from RNAcentral.
GACGAACGCUGGCGGCGUGCUUAACACAUGCAAGUCGAACGAAAAGAGGGAAAGAGCUUGCUCUUUCCGGAAUUGAGUGGCAAACGGGUGAGUAACACGUAAACAACCUGCCUUCAGGAUGGGGACAACAGACGGAAACGACUGCUACUACCGAAUAAGUUCCAAGAGCCGCAUGGCCCAUGGAAGAAAAGGUGGCCUCUACCUGUAAGCUAUCGCCUGACGAGGGGUUUGCGUCUGAUUAGCUGGUUGGAGGGGUAACGGCCCACCAAGGCGACGAUCAGUAGCCGGUCUGAGAGGAGGAACGGCCACACUGGAACGGGGACACGGUCCAGACUCCUACGGGAGGCAGCAGUGGGGAAUCUUCCGCGAUGGGAGAAAGCCUGACGGAGCAACGCCGCGUGAGUGAUGACGGCCUUCGGGUUGUAAAACUCUGUGAUCCGGGACGAAAAGGCAGAGUGCGAAGAACAAACGGCAUUGACGGUACCGGAAAAGCAAGCCACGGCUAACUACGUG